UAUGACACAUAUGCGUAGUUGGA
RNAcentral lists this microRNA (23 nucleotides) under Caenorhabditis brenneri. The record is from RNAcentral. Lineage: Eukaryota; Metazoa; Nematoda; Chromadorea; Rhabditida; Rhabditidae.